RNAcentral lists this ribosomal RNA (456 nucleotides) under Triticum aestivum (bread wheat). RNAcentral describes it as "partial small subunit ribosomal RNA". The record is from RNAcentral. Lineage: Eukaryota; Viridiplantae; Streptophyta; Magnoliopsida; Poales; Poaceae.
AUGGGUGUUGGCUCGAACAACUCGCAUUGGUCUCAAACCAAUGACAUGCAUUUUGAAGACCAUGAGUUCGAGGUGGACGAGGAUGGUGAGGGCAUUGUUGACGCACCGAAAGGAAGAGCGGGCAAUUACACCAACGCCGAAGAAAUCUUACUAUGCAAUACUUGGUUGCAAGUGUCGAGGGAUCCAUCCAUUGGAGGUGAUCAAAGUAGAGACGCUUAUUGGCUCCGAAUGAAAGAACACUUUGAUCUUCACAACAUGAGUGGAAUUGACCGCUCCGCACGAUCUCUUCGCUCCCGGUGGUCGACCAUCAAUAGGGAUUGUCAACAAUGGUCGGCCGCACAAAAAGCGGUUGACAAGUUGAACCCAAGUGGCACCAAUGAUGAUGAUAGGGUAAGUUUGGUUUCAUCAUUUCUCAUGUUCACAUCUCAUGCUUGUUGUUGGUGUUUCUUGUGCUAA